This 296-nucleotide ribosomal RNA is filed under the name uncultured bacterium. RNAcentral's name for it is "partial 16S ribosomal RNA". It matches the Rfam family "Bacterial small subunit ribosomal RNA", at positions 28 to 321 of the family's 1533-position model. The record is from RNAcentral.
GACGAACGCUGGCGGCGUGCUUAACACAUGCAAGUCGAACGGUAACAGGCCCUUCGGGUGCUGACGAGUGGCGGACGGGUGAGUAAUGCUUAGGAAUCUGCCUAGUAGUGGGGGAUAACCCGGGGAAACUCGGGCUAAUACCGCAUACGCCCUACGGGGGAAAGGACGGGGACGUUUCGGUCCGUCGCGCUAUUAGAUGAGCCUAAGUCCGAUUAGCUAGUUGGUAGGGUAAUGGCCUACCAACGGACGACGAUCGGUAGCUGGUCUGAGAGGACGACCAGCCACCACUGGGACGU